AACGAACGCUGGCGGCAUGCCUAACACAUGCAAGUCGAACGAGACCUUCGGGGCUUGUGUCGCAGGGGUGCUUAAGGAGGGGUAACCUGCCCGUAGGUUAGGUAUAACUCAGCGGAGGGGAACCUAUGACAGCGAUAUGUAAUACGACCAAAGAUUUAUCGCCUCAGGAUGGGCCCGCGUUGGAUGAAAUUGUUGGUAGAGUAGAAGGCUACCAAGGGGACGAGCCAUAGCUGGGCGGAGCGGAUGACCAGGAACACUGGGACUGAGAGACGGCACAGAUCUCUACGGGUGGCAGCAGGGGGGAACAUUGGACGAUGCGCGAGUGACUGAUCCAGCGAUGCCGCGUGAGUGAGGAAGGCCUUAGGGUUGUAAAGCUCUUUUGCACGGGAUGACAAUGACGGUACCGGAAGAAUAAGCUCCGGCUAACUCCGUG
Molecule: ribosomal RNA, 433 nt
Filed under: uncultured bacterium
Lineage: Bacteria
Description: partial 16S ribosomal RNA
Rfam family: Bacterial small subunit ribosomal RNA
Source: RNAcentral